GACGUAGGUGGCAAGCGUUGUUCGGAAUCACUGGGCAUAAAGCGCACGUAGGCGGCUGAGUAAGUCGGAUGUGAAAUACCUCGGCUCAACCGAGGAACUGCGUCCGAUACUGCUCGGCUUGAGGUCCGGAGGGGAGAGUGGAGUUCCCGGUGGAGCAGUGAAAUGCGUAGAGAUCGGGAAGAACGCCGGCGGCGAAAGCGACUCUCUGGUCGGAAUCUGACGCUGAGGUGCGAAAGCUAGGGGAGCAAACGGG
Molecule: ribosomal RNA, 253 nt
Filed under: uncultured bacterium
Lineage: Bacteria
Description: partial 16S ribosomal RNA
Rfam family: Bacterial small subunit ribosomal RNA
Source: RNAcentral